RNAcentral lists this small RNA (326 nucleotides) under Talaromyces stipitatus ATCC 10500. RNAcentral describes it as "A. fumigatus sRNA Afu_309". It matches the Rfam family "A. fumigatus sRNA Afu_309". Lineage: Eukaryota; Fungi; Ascomycota; Eurotiomycetes; Eurotiales; Trichocomaceae. The record is from Rfam by way of RNAcentral.
UCAUAACGAAAAUAAACAGAUCUGUGUUUCGCGAUCCUGGCCAGUUUGUUUUUACAAGCUGUGAUCAGUUGAUUGCUGAACAGUUCGACGACAAAGGAGCCAUUCAUACAGGGUUUUUAAUUCUGGCAUGGUGUCGAUUUCCUGUCGACAGAUCUGAGAUCGAUGUACAGCUCUCAACACCCUCUGGCUUUGAGCUCCCUUUUUCACGAUUGGUGAGCUCGGUUGGAGGCUUGAGUCGCUGUCGGCGUCAUAUUCCCACUCCCUUUACCGAUUUUUUUGGCCGUCGGCUGAUGAGGUUAGGGAAAAACCAUGACAAGCCAACAUUC